This 406-nucleotide ribosomal RNA is filed under the name uncultured bacterium. RNAcentral's name for it is "partial 16S ribosomal RNA". It matches the Rfam family "Bacterial small subunit ribosomal RNA", at positions 30 to 526 of the family's 1533-position model. The record is from RNAcentral.
AUUGAACGCUGGCGGCAGGCUUAACACAUGCAAGUUGAGCGAGCGGCGGACGGGCGAGUCAUGUCUGGGAAACUCCCUGAUGGAGGGGGCCAACCACUGGAAACGGUAGCUAAUACCGCAUACCACCAGACGUGCCCAGAUGGGAUUAGCUAGUAGGUGUGGUAAUGGCUCACCUUGGCGACGAUCCCGCGCCGGUCUGAGAGGGUGACCUGCAAGACGGGAACUGGUAGUCGGUCCAGACUCCUACGGGAGGCAGCAGUGGGGAAUAUUGCAGAAUGGGCGCAAGCGUUGUGGAUCCAUGCCGCGAGUGUGAAGAAGGCCUUCGGGUUGUAAAGCACUUGCAGCGAGGAGGCGUUACUCGCAGAAGAAGCACCGGCUAACUCCGUGCCAGCCGCCGCGGUAAUUC